RNAcentral lists this long non-coding RNA (582 nucleotides) under Panax ginseng (ginseng). RNAcentral's name for it is "long non-coding RNA (PGIN_LNC014810)". Lineage: Eukaryota; Viridiplantae; Streptophyta; Magnoliopsida; Apiales; Araliaceae. The record is from RNAcentral.
UUUUAGGCUUAAAGUUUCUUGUACUUUUCUUUUUAUUUUAUGUUUUUGUCAAAAUUGGUGUUGGUCCAUUUUCAGCUAUAUUGAUUGAAAAAAUAGAUCUUUUUUCUAUAUUACCAUUUUUCAUUCUUCUGCAAUUUAGUUAUGAAAUUUAUGGGAAAUUAAAGUCCCCAAACCCAAAAUCUGGGUUUUUUUAGGCUUAAAGUUUCUUGUACUUUUCUUUUUAUUUUAUGUUUUUGUCAAAAUUGGUGUUGGUCCAUUUUCAGCUAUAUUGAUUGAAAAAAUAGAUCUUUUUUCUAUAUUACCAUUUUUCAUUCUUCUGCAAUUUAGUUCUGAAAUUUAUGGGAAAAGUCCCCAAACCCAAAAUCUGGGGUUUUGAAAUCAGAUUAAUUGAAGAAAGUUUCUUGUUUCUUUUACUUAAUGUAUAUGUCAAAAAUUGGUAUUGGUCCAUUUUCAGCUAAAUUGAUUGAAAAGAUAUUGGCACAAUUACAAAAUUUGGGUUAGAGUGCCAGAUUAAUUGAAGAAAGUUUCUUGUAUCUUUCUACUUAAAUGUUUAUGUCAAAACUGUUGUUGGGUCCAUUUUCA